Molecule: ribosomal RNA, 289 nt
Filed under: Bacillus sp. CM9
Lineage: Bacteria; Bacillati; Bacillota; Bacilli; Caryophanales; Bacillaceae
Description: partial 16S ribosomal RNA
Rfam family: Bacterial small subunit ribosomal RNA
Source: RNAcentral
CUUCUAUGACGUUAGCGGCGGACGGGUGAGUAACACGUGGGCAACCUGCCUGUAAGACUGGGAUAACUUCGGGAAACCGAAGCUAAUACCGGAUAGGAUCUUCUCCUUCAUGGGAGAUGAUUGAAAGAUGGUUUCGGCUAUCACUUACAGAUGGGCCCGCGGUGCAUUAGCUAGUUGGUGAGGUAACGGCUCACCAAGGCAACGAUGCAUAGCCGACCUGAGAGGGUGAUCGGCCACACUGGGACUGAGACACGGCCCAGACUCCUACGGGAGGCAGCAGUGGUCAUAG